This 491-nucleotide ribosomal RNA is filed under the name uncultured bacterium. Its description in RNAcentral is "partial 16S ribosomal RNA". It matches the Rfam family "Bacterial small subunit ribosomal RNA", at positions 29 to 507 of the family's 1533-position model. The record is from RNAcentral.
AGUGAACGCUGGCGGUAGGCCUAACACAUGCAAGUCGAACGGCAGCACAGUAAGAGCUUGCUCUUACGGGUGGCGAGUGGCGGACGGGUGAGGAAUACAUCGGAAUCUACUUUUUCGUGGGGGAUAACGUAGGGAAACUUACGCUAAUACCGCAUACGACCUACGGGUGAAAGCAGGGGAUCUUCGGACCUUGCGCGAUUGAAUGAGCCGAUGUCGGAUUAGCUAGUUGGCGGGGUAAAGGCCCACCAAGGCGACGAUCCGUAGCUGGUCUGAGAGGAUGAUCAGCCACACGGGAACUGAGACGCGGUCCAGACUCCUACGGGAGGCAGCAGUGGGGAAUAUUGGACAAGGGGCGCAAGCCUGAUCCAGCCAUACCGCGUGGGUGAAGAAGGCCUUCGGGUUGUAAAGCCCUUUUGUUGGGAAGAAAAGCAGCAGGUUAAUACCCCGCUGUUCUGACGGUACCCAAAGAAUAAGCACCGGCUAACUUCGUG